GGCAAUAUCACAUUAAAACAUCAGUUCUUGUCCAAUCACUGAAGUUAAGCAAUGUCAAGCUUGGUUAAUACUUAGAUGAGUGACAGUUUGGGAAUACCAGGUGCUGUAAG
Acanthosepion pharaonis is the source of this 110-nucleotide non-coding RNA. The record is from the annotation of a GenBank genome assembly. Lineage: Eukaryota; Metazoa; Mollusca; Cephalopoda; Sepiida; Sepiidae.